This 217-nucleotide ribosomal RNA is filed under the name Salmonella enterica subsp. enterica serovar Infantis. RNAcentral describes it as "partial 16S ribosomal RNA". The record is from RNAcentral. RNAcentral also lists the same sequence under 1 other name. Lineage: Bacteria; Pseudomonadati; Pseudomonadota; Gammaproteobacteria; Enterobacterales; Enterobacteriaceae.
AAAUUGAAGAGUUUGAUCAUGGCUCAGAUUGAACGCUGGCGGCAGGCCUAACACAUGCAAGUCGAACGGUAACAGGAAGCAGCUUGCUGCUUYGCUGACGAGUGGCGGACGGGUGAGUAAUGUCUGGGAAACUGCCUGAUGGAGGGGGAUAACUACUGGAAACGGUGGCUAAUACCGCAUAACGUCGCAAGACCAAAGAGGGGGACCUUCGGGCCUC